RNAcentral lists this microRNA precursor (122 nucleotides) under Gossypium arboreum. RNAcentral describes it as "MIR7502 microRNA precursor family". It matches the Rfam family "MIR7502 microRNA precursor family". The record is from Rfam by way of RNAcentral. Lineage: Eukaryota; Viridiplantae; Streptophyta; Magnoliopsida; Malvales; Malvaceae.
UAUUAAAAAAAUCAUCCAUUUGUACCUUUAAAAACUAACAUGGUUAACAGAAUAACCAUAGUACCUCAUGCUUAUGUACAGUGACCAAUUUUUAACCUUAAAAAUUGAUAAAAUUUUUAAUA